AGAUGUUUUGAAGUUGAAGUGAAAUGUGCGAUGUUGCCCCUAUCUAUUAAUUAAGAAGAGAAGCCUCCCCAGAAAGUGUGGCUUUGGGGGGCAGUUUCAUGAUAUUAAGAAUGGGCAUAUACCCAUUCCUAUGUUUUCAGGGUUACAACAUGCUAAGUUCUUAUUGAGCCUCACCUUUCAGAAAAUGACUAUCAGCAAACAAUGUACUAGUAAUUAUCACAGUUACAAACAAUUCAUGCCAGAACAAUAAGACAUUCAGUGCAUGAUGUCUCUCUUACAGCUCCUCACUUCUUUGACAGCUUCUCCUUCAUCCUCUGCACUGCACUUUUAAGAGUAUCAUCAUCUUUGCAGAAGGUAAACCUGACAAGAUUCUUUCCUUCUUCUGGAUUUAGAUAGAAUACGCUAGUUGGAAUGGCUACAACACCAACUUCCUUGAUCAGGUAUUCGCAGAAGGCAAUGUCAUUUUCUAGCCCAAAAGGAGUGUGAUCAACAACUACAAAAUACGUUCCGCUCGAGGGGUAUACUGUGAAACCAGCUGCCUUUAACCCCUCCA
This 553-nucleotide long non-coding RNA is filed under the name Nicotiana tabacum (common tobacco). Its description in RNAcentral is "long non-coding RNA (NTAB_LNC004685)". The record is from RNAcentral. Lineage: Eukaryota; Viridiplantae; Streptophyta; Magnoliopsida; Solanales; Solanaceae.